CAGCCGCCGCGGUAAUACGAAGGGGGCUAGCGUUGUUCGGAAUUACUGGGCGUAAAGCGCACGCAGGCGGCUCGAUAAAUUAGAAGUGAAAGCCUCGGGCUUAACCUGAGAAUUGCUUUUAAGACUGUCGAGCUAGAAUCCAGAAGAGGGUAGUGGAAUUCCGAGUGUAGAGGUGAAAUUCGUAGAUAUUCGGAAGAACACCGAUGGCGAAGGCAAUCCCCUGGGCCUGCACUGACGCUCAUGCACGAAAGCGUGGGGAGCAAACAGGAUUAGAUACCCCCGUAGUCCCUGUCUCUUAUAU
RNAcentral lists this ribosomal RNA (301 nucleotides) under uncultured bacterium. Its description in RNAcentral is "partial 16S ribosomal RNA". It matches the Rfam family "Bacterial small subunit ribosomal RNA", at positions 509 to 809 of the family's 1533-position model. The record is from RNAcentral.